Molecule: long non-coding RNA, 1521 nt
Filed under: Struthio camelus australis
Lineage: Eukaryota; Metazoa; Chordata; Aves; Struthioniformes; Struthionidae
Description: lncRNA (ENSSCUG00000012965.1)
Source: RNAcentral
GAUCAGCUAGGACAGGCAGUACUGAGCUCAUGCUGGUGUUGUGGUUUCUGUGCCAGCCGUGGGAUAACAGAUGGUGCCUGCUCCUCCUCUCUGCAAUCGCAUCGAGUUAGGCUGAGGACAGAGGUUACCUGAUCUGGUGCAGAGCCUGCCAGGAGAAAGUUGAUAUGCCAGCGCUUUUGGAAUGCGUUUGAACGGGCUCAGGAAGCUUAUACUGGAUCAGCACUUCACGGCUAUGUGCUUGUAACAUGUUUCCAUCCCUUAUCAGAUGCCUCAGAAAUGAAGCUUGUUAAAAGAGGGUCUCCAGCACAGCCCAUCUCUGGCUGGUGUUUUGCAAGCUGGUUUUAUUCCUCUUCUCUUGGAGCUGGAUGAGAGUGAGAGAUGGCAUUUCCUACUGUGCAGUGAGACGAAGUUCCUACGCUGAACACUCAAACUCGUCCGACUCUUUCCUGGCUUCUGAACCGUUUUUUUUAAAGACUCACAAUUAUUUGCCCAAAACUGUUCUGAAGAUUGAGCAAGCCUGAUCCAGUUAACACAUUGCCUCAGCUUCAGGAGAAGCUAGUAGUUAUGUUCUGCUUGGUAAAACGGGGGUGAAGGCGGAGGUUUUGCACUUGUUAGAGAAGGCAGCGGAAGGGGCGGACGUUGCGGGCGCGGAUGCAACGCCAGCAAAGGGCGCGCGGGCAGCGCUGCUCGGCGCCGUGGCCAGCCUCCUCACAGUUCAAAUUCUGCUUGCUUUUGCAAAGUUUCAAUAUUUCUCUUUUAUCUCGAUCUUGCAAGCUUCAAAGAUGACACGAAGCCAAGUUCUACCUUGCUGCAGGUGAGAAUUAACCAGCUUGUGCUUCCCGUGUUCGUCCUGUAGAACCAGAAGUGGUUUAUUUUGGUUUUAGCAGUAACUGUGUAACAGUUCCUGGAUGGAUGCAAAACCAGGAGUUUCAGAAACUUUUUCUUAAGAGAUGCUUUUCAAAGCCAGUGUGACCACCUUUUGCUUUCGGGUGCAAAAGCUUAUGCAAAUACAAGCAAUCUUCCCCAUUUGCCUGCGUGACCUGUUCCUGUAGGCAGGGAGUGGAGAGGAGAGGAGAUUACAAGAGCUGCUCCGUCAGAAAGCUUCGGCAAGUACCGCCAGUCGUUCCUGGUGUGCUUCAAGCGCUGGCGCCCGAUCAAGGCUCGUCAGAAUAACUGCGCUCACGAUGCUGGCAGCGGGAGCCUGAAGCCAGAGGAGGUCACUAGCAGAAGGUGACGAUUAUCCGGCUUACAGAAGUGCUCCCGCCAGCACCUUGCCAAGUGAGGCGACUUCCUCUCGCAGGAGACCCUCCCUGCCCACGGGAGAAGUCACCUGCGAUCCUUUAAUGAGAGCUGCGAGCGAGGCAGGCGCAAAGGGCAGGGACGAGCAAAGGGGGUGCUGUGAAAAACGCAAGAUGGCAAAACGACAGUUGUAACACGGCAGAUAAGCAAGAGAAACCCACAUCUUCAUGAAAUGACAACACUCUUGUUUUUUGGAUCACAAGCCUGAUCUGUCAAUUAGCA